This 84-nucleotide transfer RNA is filed under the name Candidatus Organicella extenuata. RNAcentral's name for it is "tRNA-Leu". It matches the Rfam family "tRNA". From Rfam's summary of the family: Transfer RNA (tRNA) molecules are approximately 80 nucleotides in length. Their secondary structure includes four short double-helical elements and three loops (D, anti-codon, and T loops). Lineage: Bacteria; Pseudomonadati; Verrucomicrobiota. The record is from RNAcentral.
ACCUGAGUGGCGAAAUUGGUAGACGCUGAGGACUUAAAAUCCUUUACUAUUAGUAGUGUGUGGGUUCAAGUCCCACCUUAGGUA